ACGGAGGGGGUUAGCGUUGUUCGGAAUUACUGGGCGUAAAGCGUACGUAGGCGGAUUGGAAAGUUAGAGGUGAAAUCCCAGGGCUCAACCCUGGAACUGCCUUUAAAACUCCCAGUCUUGAGUUCGAGAGAGGUGAGUGGAAUUCCGAGUGUAGAGGUGAAAUUCGUAGAUAUUCGGAGGAACACCAGUGGCGAAGGCGGCUCACUGGCUCGAUACUGACGCUGAGGUACGAAAGUGUGGGGAGCAAACAGG
RNAcentral lists this ribosomal RNA (252 nucleotides) under uncultured bacterium. Its description in RNAcentral is "partial 16S ribosomal RNA". It matches the Rfam family "Bacterial small subunit ribosomal RNA", at positions 525 to 776 of the family's 1533-position model. The record is from RNAcentral.